UNGCAGUUGUGCUGUUGCUGGAUCUUGUU
This 29-nucleotide non-coding RNA is filed under the name Mus musculus (house mouse). Lineage: Eukaryota; Metazoa; Chordata; Mammalia; Rodentia; Muridae. The record is from RNAcentral.